GCCAGCUUGGCAUAGUGGUUUGAGAGUUUGACUACAACUCUGGAGAUCAGGGUUCAACUCCCAGCUCUGCCA
RNAcentral lists this transfer RNA (72 nucleotides) under Phrynosoma platyrhinos (Desert horned lizard). Its description in RNAcentral is "tRNA-OTHER". The record is from RNAcentral. Lineage: Eukaryota; Metazoa; Chordata; Lepidosauria; Squamata; Phrynosomatidae.